GUGUUUGUUGGUUGGAUUGUUUGGUAGCAAACUGGCGAUGAUGAGGCGCGGGGUCUCGGCCCCCAGAUUGUGAUGUCUCAGUGGGAGGCGGGCCGAGUGACGCAAACGGGGGGGUGAGCCCGCGGGUGCCAGUGCCUGGUCCGGGAGGGCUCGCCUCCCCCCGCCCCCAGUCCCGAGUACGACCCCGACCUUCACCCCUCCACCGCAGGUCCCCUGUCCCCGCAAUUCUGAGAGGUAGCCCGGCUCAGGGCAAGGGGUCCAGGCCGUGCCCACCCGCCCUGCAGGCUGCUCCCGGGAGCGCGGCUGCGAGGGCCUGGGUAGGGGAGCGGUGAGUGUGGAACAUGGUGUCAGGGGGAGUUCUCUGCCUAAACUCAGGGCCGUGGCGAGAAGGACCCCCUUUCCUGGGUUUGGAUGUUGGAAAUCUUUCCCAGGGGUUCCUGUCCAGAGAUGGAUGACCCCAGGUUCCGGAAGGAGGGAGGAGCAGCCUGCCUGCCCGGUACCCUGUGGAGCAUAGGCGUCUGACUCUCCUAAGUUCCGGGAUCUUGUUUGGGGAUCAUUAAUUCAAACGUCAGGCAGAGCUACUGGUUUUACAAACACAGAAAAAGUGAGAUCCCAGAGUCUUGGAAUUUUCCUCAGGCUACCAAGUGAAUGAGGGAAGGAGACCUCCAGCUCAGUAUUCUGACCUUUUCAGAACACACACAAAGUCCUUUAUGUACAGAAUAUUUUAAGAGAAAAAAAAAAGGGGGCAGGGCUCCCAGCAUUUAAACAUGGGCUGUAUUUAUCCUUGCUAUGUUCAUAGUACUGAAAUACUAGAAACCCCCAAAGAUGGGCUACUCCCUAAAUAACAAAUCACUGCGGAGCCCCUGCAGGGGAACAGAUCCUGUGCCCUUGAGGCAGGGCCUUAAGGUGACUCCAGCCUUGGGUAGAUUCCUGGUAGAGGUGGGGGAACAGCCAACCAACAACGAAACAAAAUACAGAUGGAAGAGAGUUCCAGAAAGGAGAAAUCCACGUGGGGUGGAAAGAGAAUUUUAGGUGGUUUUUCAAGAUGGAAUGGGAGCCUGAUUCAGCAGUCAGCGUGAGGCUGGCCCCUAACAGGAAAAGUCCUCUGCCUGAAGGCUUGGCUUCCCGGGAGUUUCCAGAAAUGGAUUUUCUAGAAAUUGCCCAAUUCUGCUAGAAUCUUUAUCGUUGUUUAACACUGACUUCUGCCAAGGGAAAGGACAUGGAGUCAGAGAAUCACAAAGAAUCCCUGGACUGGACCUCAGAGACCAUGGAAUCCAACAUCCCUCCCACGGAAGGAUUUCUAAAACCAUCUGGCCUGGUGCUGUUCCUGCCUCUGCUUAUGGGGAGGAUGACUUCAGGCAGAUAAUCUGGGUGGAUUAUUUAUCUCCACAUCCUAGACCUCCUUUGGGAAUCCUGCAGGACAUGAUGCAAAGGCUGAUGCCAGAGAGAAAUGCUGAGAAAUAGAAGGAAUCCAGCUCAGCAAAAAGAGUGGAAUAAGUGUGGACCCAGAAUCCCUACCUGGCAGGGUUGCUGUGAGAUCAAAGAUUCGCAAAUAGAGAAGAGGUGGUUCAGUAAGUCUUCAGCAAAAUUCAGACCACCUUUAUGCAAUAAAAUGAACCACAUUCAGAAGAAAAGCUGCCCUGAACUUGGAAAUUAACUAAAGUGUAAAAUAUUAAAAUAUUCUCUGAGAUUUUAUUAAUUUUUUUGGUGUGUGGAGGUGUUGAUGGUUGAUUUUUUUUUUUUUAAUUCUGCUUCUCUCCGUAGACUGCACCGGAUGUCCCAAUUUCCACAAAUAAAACCCUUCAUUUCUUCAGGUUCAAAUAGUCAAAGGCUGCUUCCCUGGAGACAACUCUGCUAAUUUUUUUUUUCUUGCAGGCAUUAGAACACUAUUUAAGGAGUGUAUAUUUUCCAGUAAAGCAAAUGAUAAAAAUGUUUUCCCCUGCAAAGUAUGAUGAGAUGCUGGUAAUGUGAAAAU
This is a non-coding RNA of Manis javanica (Malayan pangolin), 1975 nucleotides long. The record is from RefSeq and is a predicted model, not a curated record. Lineage: Eukaryota; Metazoa; Chordata; Mammalia; Pholidota; Manidae.